This 253-nucleotide ribosomal RNA is filed under the name uncultured bacterium. RNAcentral describes it as "partial 16S ribosomal RNA". It matches the Rfam family "Bacterial small subunit ribosomal RNA", at positions 524 to 776 of the family's 1533-position model. The record is from RNAcentral.
UACGUAGGUGGCAAGCGUUGUCCGGAUUUACUGGGCGUAAAGAGCGCGCAGGCGGUCGGAUAAGUCGAAUGUGAAAGCCCCUGGCUCAACCAGGGAGGGUCAUUCGAUACUGUUCGACUCGAAGGCAGGAGAGGGAAGUGGAAUUCCGGGUGUAGUGGUGAAAUGCGUAGAUAUCAGGAGGAACACCGAUGGCGAAGGCAGAUCUCUGGGCCGUAACUGACGCUGAGGAGCGAAAGCAUGGGGAGCGAACAGG